Molecule: unclassified non-coding RNA, 197 nt
Organism: Macaca fascicularis (crab-eating macaque)
Lineage: Eukaryota; Metazoa; Chordata; Mammalia; Primates; Cercopithecidae
Rfam family: Metazoan signal recognition particle RNA
About the family: The signal recognition particle (SRP) is a universally conserved ribonucleoprotein.
Source: Ensembl
CCGGGAGUUCUGGGCUAUAGUGUUCUAUGAUGAGGUGUCUGCACUAAGUUGGCAUCAAUGUGGUGACCUCCCGGGAGUGGGGACUGAUGGGUUGCCUAAGGAGGGGUGAACUGACCCAGGUUGGAAACAAAUGAAAAAUUCCUGGGCUAAUCAGUAGUGGAAUUUCACCUGUUAACAGCCACUACCCUCCAGCCUGG